AGAGUUUGAUCAUGGCUCAGAACGAACGCUGGCGGCGCGCCUAACACAUGCAAGUCGAACGAGAAGGCGUAGCAAUACGCUUGUACAGUGGCGAACGGGUGAGGAACACGUGGGUAACCUACCCUCGAGUGGGGAAUAACCAACCGAAAGGUUGGCUAAUGCCGCGUAAGCUUCCAUCUCUUCGGAGGUGGAAGGAAAGCUGUACCGUGGGUACAGCGCUCAAGGAUGGGCUCACGUCCUAUCAGCUUGUUGGUAGGGUAACGGCCUACCAAGGCAACGACGGGUAGCUGGUCUGAGAGGACGAUCAGCCACACUGGCACUGCGACACGGGCCAGACUCCUACGGGAGGCAGCAGUGAGGAAUAUUGCGCAAUGGGCGAAAGCCUGACGCAGCGACGCCGCGUGGGGGAUGAAGGUCUUCGGAUUGUAAACCCCUUUCGGGAGGGAAGAUGGGACGGGCAACCGUUCGGACGGUACCUCCAGAAGCAGCCACGGCUAACUUCGUGCCAGCAGCCGCGGUAAUACGAAGGUGGCAAGCGUUAUUCGGAUUUACUGGGCGUAAAGGGAGCGUAGGCGGUCUGGUAAGCCCUCCGGGAAAUCUCCCGGCCUAACCGGGAAAGGUCGGAGGGGACUGCUUGACUAGAGGGCGGGAGAGGAGCGCGGAAUUCCCGGUGUAGCGGUGAAAUGCGUAGAGAUCGGGAGGAAGGCCGGUGGCGAAGGCGGCGCUCUGGAACGAUCCUGACGCUGAGGCUCGAAAGCGUGGGGAGCAAACAGGAUUAGAUACCCUGGUAGUCCACGCCCUAAACGAU
This 808-nucleotide ribosomal RNA is filed under the name uncultured bacterium. RNAcentral's name for it is "bacterial SSU rRNA". It matches the Rfam family "Bacterial small subunit ribosomal RNA", at positions 8 to 810 of the family's 1533-position model. The record is from RNAcentral.